Oncorhynchus mykiss (rainbow trout) is the source of this 489-nucleotide non-coding RNA. The record is from RefSeq and is a predicted model, not a curated record. Lineage: Eukaryota; Metazoa; Chordata; Actinopteri; Salmoniformes; Salmonidae.
CCAGGAAAAAAAAGUGGAUCCCUUUGUCAGCACAGUUUUAUUUACUUGUUCAAGACAGAAGUCAACCAAGUUUCAAUUUUUACAGAGUUAGCAAGAGAGUGGCACUAACAACAUCAAGGUCGCGUGGUUCAGUUCCUGCAGGGAUCAAACACAUUACACUUUACAUUACAAAUCCUGAUCAAGCCAAAGUAGCCCAGGAGAACGGAGCAGCGUUUGUGGGAGGAGCCGACCUUGUGCAGAGAAUCUUGGAAGAUAAUGUGGACUUCUACGUAGUGGUACUAGAUAUCAUCUCCAAACUACUGCCUCUGAAGAACAACCGACGCAAAGAAGUUCCCCAAGAACAAGAGAGGACGUGUCAUUAGAGCGAGCGAUCGUCAGCUGUCGGAGUGAAGAACUCGUACAGAAAGUCACAGUGAAAAAGGACGAUUAAAGACGCUUGUGAUUUUAUAUGUUAAUGUGUAUAAUUUAUUCAAUAAAGUAUGAAAAUAU